RNAcentral lists this ribosomal RNA (207 nucleotides) under uncultured bacterium. RNAcentral describes it as "partial 16S ribosomal RNA". It matches the Rfam family "Bacterial small subunit ribosomal RNA", at positions 568 to 774 of the family's 1533-position model. The record is from RNAcentral.
CGCGCAGGCGGCCAGGUCAGUCGAAUGUGAAAGCCCCCGGCUCAACUGGGGAAGGUCGUUCGAUACUGCCUGGCUUGAAGAUAGGAGAGGGAAGUGGGAUUUCAGGUGUAGUGGUGAAAUGCGUAGAUAUCUGAAGGAACACCAGUGGCGAAGGCGACUUUCUGGCCUAUUCUUGACGCUGAGGCGCGAAAGCUAGGGGAGCGAACG